This 320-nucleotide long non-coding RNA is filed under the name Phasianus colchicus (ring-necked pheasant). RNAcentral's name for it is "lncRNA (ENSPCLG00000012832.1)". Lineage: Eukaryota; Metazoa; Chordata; Aves; Galliformes; Phasianidae. The record is from RNAcentral.
AUGUGUUUCAGCUCUCCCCUUCAGGAUCUGCCUGUGGGUCAUGCCCUGCAAGUCCCCUACACAUUGCUCUGCAGUUAUCUGCUGCUCUGUAAGAGUGGAAUGGUAACUUCCAGUUUUCUUGUUAAGGAAAAGACAAAGUUUACCAUCACUUUCCAAACACAGAAGCGUUGUCUUGGCAGCAAUUGGGAAUACAGCUUUCUUUUUGCAGCAUGUGAUCAUCCAAAGAAAACAACGCAGAAAUCAGACACACAAAAAAAAUACUCUAAUUGCUCUAAAUGCAAGGAAGAAAUCGCACGACCUCUUUUCUGUUUGGAAAGCUG